RNAcentral lists this ribosomal RNA (468 nucleotides) under uncultured bacterium. RNAcentral's name for it is "partial 16S ribosomal RNA". It matches the Rfam family "Bacterial small subunit ribosomal RNA", at positions 28 to 507 of the family's 1533-position model. The record is from RNAcentral.
GACGAACGCUGGCGGCGUGCUUAACACAUGCAAGUCGAACGAAAAGGCCCUGCUCUUGCUGCGUUCUCGAUUGCCGAACGGGUGAGUAACACGCGUGUAACCCCCCCUUGUCUUUGGGAUAACUUCAGGAAACUGGGGCUAAUACCGGAUAGGAGCUCUUGCUGCAUGGUGGUGGUUGGAAAGUUUCGGCGGUGGGGUAUGGACUCGCGGCUUAGCAGCUUGUUGGUGGGGUUGGGGCUUACCAAGGUUUUGACGGGUAGCCGGCCUGAGCGGGUGACCGGCCACAUUGGGACUGAGAUACGGCCCAGACUCCUACGGGAGGCAGCAGUGGGGAAUAUUGCACAAUGGGCGGAAGCCUGAUGCAGCAACGCCGCGUGCGGGAUGACGGCCUUCGGGUUGUAAACCGCUUUCGCCUGUGACGAAGCGUGAGUGACGGUAAUGGGUAAAGAAGCACCGGCUAACUACGUG